UGCAGUCGACGAUGAAGCCCAGCUUGCUGGGUGGAUUAGUGGCGAACGGGUGAGUAACACGUGAGUAACCUGCCCUUAACUCUGGGAUAAGCCUGGGAAACUGGGUCUAAUACCGGAUAGGAGCGCCCACCGCAUGGUGGGUGUUGGAAAGAUUUAUCGGUUUUGGAUGGACUCGCGGCCUAUCAGCUUGUUGGUGAGGUAAUGGCUCACCAAGGCGACGACGGGUAGCCGGCCUGAGAGGGUGACCGGCCACACUGGGACUGAGACACGGCCCAGACUCCUACGGGAGGCAGCAGUGGGGAAUAUUGCACAAUGGGCGAAAGCCUGAUGCAGCGACGCCGCGUGAGGGAUGACGGCCUUCGGGUUGUAAACCUCUUUCAGUAGGGAAGAAGCGAAAGUGACGGUACCUGCAGAAGAAGCACCGGCUAACUACGUGCCAGCAGCCGCGGUAAUACGUAGGGUGCGAGCGUUAUCCGGAAUUAUUGGGCGUAAAGAGCUCGUAGGCGGUUUGUCGCGUCUGUCGUGAAAGUCCGGGGCUUAACCCCGGAUCUGCGGUGGGUACGGGCAGACUAGAGUGCAGUAGGGGAGACUGGAAUUCCUGGUGUAGCGGUGGAAUGCGCAGAUAUCAGGAGGAACACCGAUGGCGAAGGCAGGUCUCUGGGCUGUAACUGACGCUGAGGAGCGAAAGCAUGGGGAGCGAACAGGAUUAGAUACCCUGGUAGUCCAUGCCGUAAACGUUGGGCACUAGGUGUGGGGACCAUUCCACGGUUUCCGCGCCGCAGCUAACGCAUUAAGUGCCCCGCCUGGGGAGUACGGCCGCAAGGCUAAAACUCAAAGGAAUUGACGGGGGCCCGCACAAGCGGCGGAGCAUGCGGAUUAAUUCGAUGCAACGCGAAGAACCUUACCAAGGCUUGACAUGUUCUCGAUCGCCGUAGAGAUACGGUUUCCCCUUUGGGGCGGGUUCACAGGUGGUGCAUGGUUGUCGUCAGCUCGUGUCGUGAGAUGUUGGGUUAAGUCCCGCAACGAGCGCAACCCUCGUUCCAUGUUGCCAGCACGUAAUGGUGGGGACUCAUGGGAGACUGCCGGGGUCAACUCCGAAGGAAGGUGAGGCCGACGUCAAAUCAUCA
This is a ribosomal RNA of 1127 nucleotides. It matches the Rfam family "Bacterial small subunit ribosomal RNA", at positions 56 to 1195 of the family's 1533-position model.